CUUAUACAAAAAUCUACCAUCGGAAGGGCUAUCAUUAGCACUGUAUAUUGCCCCCCCGGAACAAAAGAAAAAACAAAGAAAUGAAAGAACACCAACAUAUAUCUACAUUUUACACAUACUCUACAAGCACUAGAGUUUCAUCAUCCUCCUCCUGGUCAGCACUCUGGCCAGCACUCCUAGCCUUUCCCAUCAGAAUAUCAAGCUACACAAAGCAGUAAUAUCAAAUAAUAUAAAACUAUACAUGAAAACCAUUUUCAGCAAUUCAUAUAUCUACAUGAAAACCAUUAUACCUGUGACAAACAUAUACAUGAAAACCAUUUUCAGCAAAGAAACUUAAGAACAAAAAUCUUGCUAUUCUAUAUUCUAUAUUGUAAUGAAAUAAUCCAGCACAGUAUAAUCAAGAUUAAAUUUCAUUUCCAAUUUUAAGUGAAUUGUUUUUGCAAAAAAAAAAAAAAACCCUCACUCACCCAAUCAUGCAUGGCAUCAGCGUUGAUAGGCUUACAAAUCAUAGGGAUCAAAUUAUAUAGGGCUUCGAGAACUAUGUCAUAUAACAUAAAAAUUUCAAAACCACAUCGGUCAUUAUAUUCAUUAAAGUUGAAUAAGAUGCAGUAUUAGAAAAUGCAUGUCAAAAUGUUUGCUGACACAGAAACAUAUACCAAAAGAUUUAUGAUAGUUUUCAUUAUGGAAAAACAUAUAAAAAAACUCGAGUGGUCAAGCACAAGGUUCACUGAAACCAUACCAAAAGAAUAUGUGUUGGCCAUGUAAACAAAGAUCAAGCAGACAUAACAUGACAGUCCAAAUUUACGUUUUACUACAU
This 817-nucleotide long non-coding RNA is filed under the name Trifolium pratense (red clover). Its description in RNAcentral is "long non-coding RNA (TPRA_LNC011957)". The record is from RNAcentral. Lineage: Eukaryota; Viridiplantae; Streptophyta; Magnoliopsida; Fabales; Fabaceae.